GGCUCCUUGAGCUGUAUUAAUAAGGAGUCGAGCCUGCCCAGUGAGUUUUUAACGGCCGCGGUACUCUGACCGUGCAAAGGUAGCAUAAUCAUUUGCCUUAUAAUUGAAGGCUAGUAUGAAUGGUUUGACGAGAGCAAUACUGUCUCCCUCUUAUUUUUUAGAACUUGACUUUUAGGUGAAGAGGCCUAAGUUAGAUUGAAGGACAAGAAGACCCUGUCGAGCUUAAAAGAAUUUGCAGAAGUUAAUAUUAAAUAAGAUAAAUAAUCUGCUAAGCUUUUUAGUUGGGGCGACUAAGGAACAAAAAAAGCUUCUUAAACAAAAUAGAUAUAUAAAUAUAGAUCCGGUUUUACCGAUUUAAAAAAUUAGCUACCGCAGGGAUAACAGCAUAAUCUCUUCUGAGAGACCUAAUCGAAGAAGGGGGUUGUGACCUCGAUGUUGGACUAGAAUAACCUAAAGAUGCAGAAGUCUUUUAGGGUCGGUCUGUUCGACCGUUAAAAUUCU
Molecule: ribosomal RNA, 501 nt
Filed under: Modulus modulus
Lineage: Eukaryota; Metazoa; Mollusca; Gastropoda; Modulidae
Description: partial 16S ribosomal RNA
Rfam family: Bacterial large subunit ribosomal RNA
Source: RNAcentral